AUGGGGGGGGGGGGGGGGGGGGGUAAGAGAGAGUGGGGUGCAGAAGCAAGAUAAUAGAGAAUCAGAGAUGUGAUAGAAAAAAAAUGUUUUGUCAAAGCAGUUGGUUAAAGAUGUCAGUUUUUAGUUCUUGGAAAAGAGCAAUGGGAUGGGAUAGGCAUUGACAUAGGAACACUUAUUUUUAAUUAAAAAUUCUUGACCUCUGGACAGUGGGGAAGUCAAAACAGUGAAUUUUAUGGAAGGAAUGAUAUUAAGCUGCAGAGUUCUUUUGGGAUCUUAAAAUUGUGAGAUAAACGAGUGAAGCGUUCUUUUGCAAUUGUAAUUAUUGUCUCUCUCUCUCUCUCUCUC
Molecule: unclassified non-coding RNA, 345 nt
Filed under: Hevea brasiliensis (rubber tree)
Lineage: Eukaryota; Viridiplantae; Streptophyta; Magnoliopsida; Malpighiales; Euphorbiaceae
Source: RNAcentral